This 110-nucleotide ribosomal RNA is filed under the name Streptococcus parasanguinis. Its description in RNAcentral is "partial 16S ribosomal RNA". It matches the Rfam family "Bacterial small subunit ribosomal RNA", at positions 1424 to 1533 of the family's 1533-position model. The record is from RNAcentral. Lineage: Bacteria; Bacillati; Bacillota; Bacilli; Lactobacillales; Streptococcaceae.
AAGUCGGUGAGGUAACCGUAAGGAGCCAGCCGCCUAAGGUGGGAUAGAUGAUUGGGGUGAAGUCGUAACAAGGUAGCCGUAUCGGAAGGUGCGGCUGGAUCACCUCCUUU